RNAcentral lists this ribosomal RNA (253 nucleotides) under uncultured bacterium. Its description in RNAcentral is "partial 16S ribosomal RNA". It matches the Rfam family "Bacterial small subunit ribosomal RNA", at positions 524 to 776 of the family's 1533-position model. The record is from RNAcentral.
AACGUAGGAGACAAACGUUAUCCGGAGUUACUGGGCGUAAAGGGCGUGUAGGCGGUCGACUAAGUCUGGCGUGAAAGCUCGCGGCUAAACCGCGAGAGGUCGUUGGAUACUGGUUGACUAGAGGACGGUAGAGGCGUGUGGAAUUCCGGGUGUAGUGGUGAAAUGCGUAGAGAUCCGGAGGAACACCAGUGGCGAAGGCGACACGCUGGGCCGUACCUGACGCUAAGGCGCGAAAGCUAGGGGAGCAAACAGG